GUUAAAAGAGAUUUGUGAAGUGAAUGUUUUACACAGAAAGUGGUACAUGCUUGCAAUGUGCUGCCUGGGAGUUGGUAGAAGCAGAUAUGAUAGCAACACGUAAGAGGCCUUUAGAGAGAGAACUGAAGAAACUGGAAACAGAGAGACAGGGGCAUGCACACAGAUGGGAUUAAUUUAGACUGGUAUCAUGGUUGGCACAAGCAUAGUGGGCAGAAGUAGCUGUUCCUGUGUCACCCAGUUCUAUGUUCUAUGGGAUUGUAUGUACCAGGAGCAUUUAGGCUAUCUUCAAAGGAGCGGGUCGGACCCUGAGGAGGGCAUUUGGCAAGGAGACGGAGACGGACUCGUGUGGAGCGUCUGGUCGACCACCGUUGGUGGUCCCAGGCGGCCGGUCGAGGUGGUCCGAGGGGGUCGCAGGGUGAAGAAGAAGGUCCUUGAGCUCCAAUGGUUUUGUGCACGAAGAGAUUGAACUUUGGCAUUUACAGAAAAAAAGAAAUGCAAUAGAAUUUUAUGAAAAAAGACUAAUCAUGAACAAAGACUGACAAACUCCAACUUGCAAAAGCAAACUGUGCACGUACAACUAAUACUGAACACAUGAAUAUCUUUGAAAUUGAAAGGAAUCUUGACUCCAAUUAUGAGUGUGAAAGGCAUACUAUGGAAUUAUGUAUCGCAUUGAACUGCUGCUGCUAAGUUAACAAAUUUCAGGUCACAUGCCGGUGAUAAUAAACCUGAUUCUGAUUCUGAACAGAGAUGAGAAGGAAUUUCUUUAACUAGAGGGUGGUGAAUCUGUGGAAUUCUUUGCCAUGGACGGCUGAGGAGGACAAGUCAUUGAGCAUAUUUAAAACAGAGGUUGAUAGGUUCUUGUUUAGUCAGGGUGUAAAACGUCACGGCGAGAAGGCAGGAGAAGCAAAAGGAAUCAGGCAUGGCGGAAUGGUGGAGCAGACCUGAGGACCAAAUGGCCUAUUUCCGCUCCUUUUUCUCAUGGUCUGGGUUCGAUUCUGAACGGAGCUGUUGUCUGAGCAGGUUUGCACCUUCUCUAUCUGACUGAACAGGUUAUCCCCAGAUGCUCCAGUUACCUCACACAGAUACCGGCAGCUCAGUCAGCUAUUGUAACACCACCAGUGCAGGUUAAUGGCA
Molecule: long non-coding RNA, 1134 nt
Organism: Mobula hypostoma (lesser devil ray)
Lineage: Eukaryota; Metazoa; Chordata; Chondrichthyes; Myliobatiformes; Myliobatidae
Exons: 4
Source: RefSeq, a predicted model, not a curated record